RNAcentral lists this ribosomal RNA (867 nucleotides) under uncultured bacterium. RNAcentral's name for it is "bacterial SSU rRNA". It matches the Rfam family "Bacterial small subunit ribosomal RNA", at positions 440 to 1310 of the family's 1533-position model. The record is from RNAcentral.
GGAUAGAGGUAGUAACUGGCCUUUAUUUGACGGUAAUCAACCAGAAAGUCACGGCUAACUACGUGCCAGCAGCCGCGGUAAUACGUAGGUGGCAAGCGUUGUCCGGAUUUAUUGGGCGUAAAGCGAGCGCAGGCGGAAAAAUAAGUCUAAUGUGAAAGCCCUCGGCUUAACCGAGGAACUGCAUCGGAAACUGUUUUUCUUGAGUGCAGAAGAGGAGAGUGGAACUCCAUGUGUAGCGGUGGAAUGCGUAGAUAUAUGGAAGAACACCAGUGGCGAAGGCGGCUCUCUGGUCUGCAACUGACGCUGAGGCUCGAAAGCAUGGGUAGCGAACAGGAUUAGAUACCCUGGUAGUCCAUGCCGUAAACGAUGAGUGCUAAGUGUUGGGAGGUUUCCGCCUCUCAGUGCUGCAGCUAACGCAUUAAGCACUCCGCCUGGGGAGUACGACCGCAAGGUUGAAACUCAAAGGAAUUGACGGGGGCCCGCACAAGCGGUGGAGCAUGUGGUUUAAUUCGAAGCAACGCGAAGAACCUUACCAGGUCUUGACAUCUAGUGCAAUCUGUAGAGAUACGGAGUUCCCUUCGGGGACGCUAAGACAGGUGGUGCAUGGCUGUCGUCAGCUCGUGUCGUGAGAUGUUGGGUUAAGUCCCGCAACGAGCGCAACCCUUGUUAUUAGUUGCCAGCAUUAAGUUGGGCACUCUAAUGAGACUGCCGGUGACAAACCGGAGGAAGGUGGGGAUGACGUCAAGUCAUCAUGCCCCUUAUGACCUGGGCUACACACGUGCUACAAUGGGCAGUACAACGAGAAGCAAGCCUGCGAAGGCAAGCGAAUCUCUGAAAGCUGUUCUCAGUUCGGACUGCAGUCUGCAA